AGGAAGAAGGCUCAAGUGGUCAACAGCUGCAUCCCUGAUUCGAUCAAAGCUGUGAAUAAACCUGAGUGAACAUGCACCACAAUUUUGCCUCUUCCAGAACACACCAGCACCAGACUAAUGAAGAGCUACAGACAGCAGAAGAGCUUUGCUGUUACCAUGGUACCAGGUCAAAUGUCAAGUUGGUCUUGCCAGUGCUUAUUUCUGGCCUCCUCCUUCUAACCGUGGUCAUCACUGCUCGCGUUGUUGACUCUUCAACUGAACAUCAGUCUGGUAAAUGUGAGCAUGACUGGGAGCCACAUGGUAAGCAGUGCUACUUCUUCUCUAAAAGGGCUCUUAACUGGAGUCAGAGUCUAGAAGAAUGUACCCGUAUGAGGAGCCAUCUGGUAAUUAUAGACAAUGAAGAUGAGCAGAUAUUUUUGAUGGGGGAAAUUAAACAAAAAAUGCAACAUGCUGAGGACAAGUUCUGGAUUGGUCUCAAUGACAUAUAGAAAGAAGGAAAAUGGCAAUGGGUGGACAACACUCCUCUCAAUACAAACCAACAAUUCUGGACAAGAAUGCAACCUGAUGACUGGAAAGGGAAAUGGAAUGUAUAUCCUAAGGGAGAGGACUGUGUCCGGAUGGGAAAGAUUGAUUUUGAUGGCAAGGAUGCAACAGGCUGGUGUGAUGCAAUGUGUCAUAGACGGAUGACAUUUAUUUGUGAAACUUGAACUUAGUCACAGACUCACAGUGCAUUAUAUGGAGCCCUCACAGAGUCAUGGUCAUUCUCUUUAGGUGGGAAUUAAUAUUGUUGAGCUUUGCAUUACCUCGCAAAGGCAAAUGUGUUAGCUUUAAGCAAAUGAGUGUUUUUCAUCUGUUGUUUUUCAUGUACUUGUUUCUGUUUACACAUGUAGGCGAUUUGUGUUUAUCCAAUCUACUUGUGUCCAGUAAGUAAAGCACAGGUUGGUAUUUAAAUCAUCAGAUAGUCCUGAAGAUCCCCCUACAUGACAUUGGCAAGUUCCUUAAGACUUUUUUUUUUAAUCAAAACAAUGGCCAAAUAUUUUUAAAGGAGUUCAGUGUCUUUAGCUUGUAUAAAUACUUCCCUUGUUCGCAUCAUCCUCGAACAUCUCUAUUCACAUUCUAUUCCCUAUACUGACACCUAAAUCUAUUGAAGCCAAUAAAGGUAUAGGAAGACAGGGUGGAUGGGAUGCUAAUGGUAUAAGUGUUUAAUUUUCCAGGAUAGCCUAGUGUGUUGUGUAUUACUACUGCAGUAUACUGCCAAGGGUUAUGUAUAGUGAUGUUAUGUAAGAAUUCAAGGUGUACGAAUGGCACAGCAAGGGUUAUGUAAGUGAUGUUAUGUAAGAAUUCAAGGUGUGCGAAUGGCACAGCAUACAUGGCAGGCGACUAAAGUGCCAGAAGUGGCACAUAACAUUUAACACUGAUUAGUCCUCGACAUAAAGCUAGCUUUAUAUUGAGGAAGGCUUUCUGCUUAAAAACAAGUACUGCCUGUCUGAUGCUAAUUCCAGGCUUGUAAAGCCUCAAUAAGAUUGUGGGUGCUUUUUCGAGGUGGGAGGCAAAUCGGAGGUGUAGCUGACGUUUUGGAUGGUGUGGGUCUUAAUAUGUGAAUUUCUUUCUCUGUGUAAUCACUAUACAGUCUGUGUAGUCUGUACUUAAAUUAUACAGUGUCAAAAAGCAAUUCUAGGGGGGUUUGGAGGUAUGUUCAUCCCAGAGAAUUAAAAAAAAAAAUGACCCCUCAAAUGAUUUCUUCUAGUUAGUUUUGAGGGAAUAAUAUGGACACAUUUAUAAAAUAAGCCAUCAAUAAAUUUAGGUUAUCUGGAUUGAAACAAGAUUCUGGUGAUUUGGGGGUAUGCUCCCCUGGAGACAUUUUUUUAAAACAUGACCCCUCAAAUGAUGUCUUCUAGUUUUGAGGGAAUAUGGACAAAUUUAGUCAUACAAAAUAAGCCAUGAGUAGAUUUAGGUUAUAUGAAUUGAAACAAGAUUCUAAUGCAGGAUUGUUGCAAUGAUAACCAUGACUGUGACUGUCAAAACAUUUCCAUCUGAUUCAAUAAAGACUCAGUCAAGUAAGU
This is a long non-coding RNA of Alosa alosa (allis shad), 2063 nucleotides long. RefSeq lists it as uncharacterized. The record is from RefSeq and is a predicted model, not a curated record. NCBI's taxonomy places the organism in Eukaryota, Metazoa, Chordata, Actinopteri, Clupeiformes, Clupeidae. The transcript is spliced from 5 exons.